Molecule: small nucleolar RNA, 94 nt
Organism: Bubalus bubalis (water buffalo)
Lineage: Eukaryota; Metazoa; Chordata; Mammalia; Artiodactyla; Bovidae
Product: small nucleolar RNA U13
Exons: 1
Source: RefSeq, a predicted model, not a curated record
AUCCUUUUGUAGUUCAUGAGCGUGAUGAUUGGGUGUUCACACUAUUUCGUGAUUUGUGCCUCACUCCAGACACCGGCACAUUACCCAUCUGACG